RNAcentral lists this ribosomal RNA (460 nucleotides) under uncultured bacterium. RNAcentral describes it as "partial 16S ribosomal RNA". It matches the Rfam family "Bacterial small subunit ribosomal RNA", at positions 338 to 795 of the family's 1533-position model. The record is from RNAcentral.
CCUACGGGAGGCAGCAGUGAGGAAUAUUGGUCAAUGGACGAAAGUCUGAACCAGCCAAGUAGCGUGCAGGAUGACGGCCCUAUGGGUUGUAAACUUCUUUUAUAUGGGAAUAAAAGGUUCUACGUGUGGGUUUUUGUAUGUAUCAUAUGAAUAAGGAUCGGCUAACUCCGUGCCAGCAGCCGCGGUAAUACGGAGGAUCCGAGCGUUAUCCGGAUUUAUUGGGUUUAAAGGGAGCGUAGGCGGUUUGUUAAGUCAGUUGUGAAAGUUUGCGGCUCAACCGUAAAAUUGCAGUUGAAACUGGCAGUCUUGAGUACAGUAGAGGUGGGCGGAAUUCGUGGUGUAGCGGUGAAAUGCUUAGAUAUCACGAAGAACUCCGAUUGCGAAGGCAGCUCACUGGACUGCAACUGACACUGAGGCUCGAAAGUGUGGGUAUCAAACAGGAUUAGAUACCCUUGUAGUC